ACCAGUUUGUUGUCUAUUCGA
This 21-nucleotide microRNA is filed under the name Saccoglossus kowalevskii. RNAcentral's name for it is "sko-miR-4823-3p". The record is from miRBase by way of RNAcentral. Lineage: Eukaryota; Metazoa; Hemichordata; Enteropneusta; Harrimaniidae.